ACAAGCGGUGGAUGAUGUGGUUUAAUUCGAUGCAACGCGAAAACCUUACCACCUUUGACAUGGCAGGAAUCCCGAAGAGAUUUGGGAGUGCUCGCAAGAGAACCGGAACACAGGUGCUGCAUGGCUGUCGUCAGCUCGUGUCGUGAGAUGUUGGGUUAAGUCCCGCAACGAGCGCAACCCUUGUCAUUAGUUGCCAUCAUUUGGUUGGGCACUCUAAUGAGACUGCCGGUGACAAACCGGAGGAAGGUGGGGAUGACGUCAAGUCCUCAUGGCCCUUAUAGGUGGGGCUACACACGUCAUACAAUGGCUGGUACAGAGGGUUGCCAACCCGCGAGGGGGAGCUAAUCCCAUAAAACCAGUCGUAGUCCGGAUCGCAGUCUGCAACUCGACUGCGUGAAGUCGGAAUCGCUAGUAAUCGCGGAUCAGAAUGUCGCGGUGAAUACGUUCCCGGGUCUU
This 456-nucleotide ribosomal RNA is filed under the name uncultured Rhodocyclaceae bacterium. Its description in RNAcentral is "bacterial SSU rRNA". It matches the Rfam family "Bacterial small subunit ribosomal RNA", at positions 925 to 1382 of the family's 1533-position model. Lineage: Bacteria; Pseudomonadati; Pseudomonadota; Betaproteobacteria; Rhodocyclales; Rhodocyclaceae. The record is from RNAcentral.